GACAUUCGUUUGGUGUGUCAGCCACCGAACUCCCCUGAUCUUAACAUACUUGAUCUAGGAUUUUUUGCUGCCUUACAAUCAUUGUUUCAGAAGUUAUUUCCAGGUUCCAUUGAUGACAUAGUCCGCAAGGUGUGCCAGGCAUUUGAGCAAUACCCAGCUGAGAGGUGCAACAGGAUAUUCCUAACUCUACAAUCUUGCAUGCAUGAGGUUUUGAAGGAUAAGGGAGGCCAACACUACAAGGUGCCGCACAUGAGGAAGCUAGUCCUUGCAAAUGUUGAUGCCCUCCCGGUGAAGUUGCCUUGUGAUCGAUCCAUCGUGGACGAGGCGAGGGCUUUUUUACUUCAGUAG
RNAcentral lists this ribosomal RNA (348 nucleotides) under Triticum aestivum (bread wheat). RNAcentral's name for it is "partial small subunit ribosomal RNA". Lineage: Eukaryota; Viridiplantae; Streptophyta; Magnoliopsida; Poales; Poaceae. The record is from RNAcentral.